AGGGUUGUGUGUAAGGGGCUGCAAGU
Molecule: non-coding RNA, 26 nt
Filed under: Homo sapiens (human)
Lineage: Eukaryota; Metazoa; Chordata; Mammalia; Primates; Hominidae
Source: RNAcentral